This 2918-nucleotide ribosomal RNA is filed under the name Pseudomonas syringae pv. syringae. Its description in RNAcentral is "bacterial LSU rRNA". It matches the Rfam family "Bacterial large subunit ribosomal RNA". Lineage: Bacteria; Pseudomonadati; Pseudomonadota; Gammaproteobacteria; Pseudomonadales; Pseudomonadaceae. The record is from RNAcentral.
GUUAUAUGGUCAAGUGAAGAAGCGCAUACGGUGGAUGCCUUGGCAGUCAGAGGCGAUGAAAGACGUGGUAGCCUGCGAAAAGCUUCGGGGAGUCGGCAAACAGACUGUGAUCCGGAGAUGUCUGAAUGGGGGAACCCAGCCAUCAUAAGAUGGUUAUCUUGUACUGAAUACAUAGGUGCAAGAGGCGAACCAGGGGAACUGAAACAUCUAAGUACCCUGAGGAAAAGAAAUCAACCGAGAUUCCCUUAGUAGUGGCGAGCGAACGGGGACCAGCCCUUAAGUUGUAUUGAGAUUAGCGGAACGUUCUGGAAAGGACGGCCAUAGUGGGUGAUAGCCCUGUACGCGAAAAUCCCUUUGCAAUGAAAUCGAGUAGGACGGGGCACGAGAAACCUUGUCUGAAUAUGGGGGGACCAUCCUCCAAGGCUAAAUACUACUGACUGACCGAUAGUGAACCAGUACCGUGAGGGAAAGGCGAAAAGAACCGCGGAGAGCGGAGUGAAAUAGAUCCUGAAACCGUAUGCGUACAAGCAGUGGGAGCCCACUUUGUUGGGUGACUGCGUACCUUUUGUAUAAUGGGUCAGCGACUUAUUUUCAGUGGCGAGCUUAACCGAAUAGGGGAGGCGUAGCGAAAGCGAGUCUUAAUAGGGCGUCUAGUCGCUGGGAAUAGACCCGAAACCGGGCGAUCUAUCCAUGGGCAGGUUGAAGGUUGGGUAACACUAACUGGAGGACCGAACCGACUACCGUUGAAAAGUUAGCGGAUGACCUGUGGAUCGGAGUGAAAGGCUAAUCAAGCUCGGAGAUAGCUGGUUCUCCUCGAAAGCUAUUUAGGUAGCGCCUCAUGUAUCACUGUAGGGGGUAGAGCACUGUUUCGGCUAGGGGGUCAUCCCGACUUACCAAACCGAUGCAAACUCCGAAUACCUACAAGUGCCGAGCAUGGGAGACACACGGCGGGUGCUAACGUCCGUCGUGAAAAGGGAAACAACCCAGACCGUCAGCUAAGGUCCCAAAGUCAUGGUUAAGUGGGAAACGAUGUGGGAAGGCUUAGACAGCUAGGAGGUUGGCUUAGAAGCAGCCACCCUUUAAAGAAAGCGUAAUAGCUCACUAGUCGAGUCGGCCUGCGCGGAAGAUGUAACGGGGCUCAAACCAUGCACCGAAGCUACGGGUAUCAUCUUAGGAUGAUGCGGUAGAGGAGCGUUCUGUAAGCCUGUGAAGGUGAGUUGAGAAGCUUGCUGGAGGUAUCAGAAGUGCGAAUGCUGACAUGAGUAACGACAAUGGGUGUGAAAAACACCCACGCCGAAAGACCAAGGUUUCCUGCGCAACGUUAAUCGACGCAGGGUUAGUCGGUCCCUAAGGCGAGGCUGAAAAGCGUAGUCGAUGGAAAACAGGUUAAUAUUCCUGUACUUCUGGUUAUUGCGAUGGAGGGACGGAGAAGGCUAGGCCAGCCUGGCGUUGGUUGUCCAGGUUUAAGGUGGUAGGCUGAGAUCUUAGGUAAAUCCGGGAUCUUAAGGCCGAGAGCUGAUGACGAGUGUUCUUUUAGAACACGAAGUGGUUGAUGCCAUGCUUCCAAGAAAAGCUUCUAAGCUUCAGGUAACCAGGAACCGUACCCCAAACCGACACAGGUGGUUGGGUAGAGAAUACCAAGGCGCUUGAGAGAACUCGGGUGAAGGAACUAGGCAAAAUGGCACCGUAACUUCGGGAGAAGGUGCGCCGGUGGAGGUGAAGCAUUUACUGCGUAAGCCCCUGCCGGUCGAAGAUACCAGGCCGCUGCGACUGUUUAUUAAAAACACAGCACUCUGCAAACACGAAAGUGGACGUAUAGGGUGUGACGCCUGCCCGGUGCCGGAAGGUUAAUUGAUGGGGUUAGCGCAAGCGACGCUCUUGAUCGAAGCCCCGGUAAACGGCGGCCGUAACUAUAACGGUCCUAAGGUAGCGAAAUUCCUUGUCGGGUAAGUUCCGACCUGCACGAAUGGCGUAACGAUGGCGGCGCUGUCUCCACCCGAGACUCAGUGAAAUUGAAAUCGCUGUGAAGAUGCAGUGUAUCCGCGGCUAGACGGAAAGACCCCGUGAACCUUUACUAUAGCUUUGCACUGGACUUUGAAUUUGCUUGUGUAGGAUAGGUGGGAGGCUUUGAAGCGUGGACGCCAGUCUGCGUGGAGCCAACCUUGAAAUACCACCCUGGCAACUUUGAGGUUCUAACUCAGGUCCGUUAUCCGGAUCGAGGACAGUGUAUGGUGGGUAGUUUGACUGGGGCGGUCUCCUCCUAAAGAGUAACGGAGGAGUACGAAGGUGCGCUCAGACCGGUCGGAAAUCGGUCGUAGAGUAUAAAGGCAAAAGCGCGCUUGACUGCGAGACAGACACGUCGAGCAGGUACGAAAGUAGGUCUUAGUGAUCCGGUGGUUCUGUAUGGAAGGGCCAUCGCUCAACGGAUAAAAGGUACUCCGGGGAUAACAGGCUGAUACCGCCCAAGAGUUCAUAUCGACGGCGGUGUUUGGCACCUCGAUGUCGGCUCAUCACAUCCUGGGGCUGAAGCCGGUCCCAAGGGUAUGGCUGUUCGCCAUUUAAAGUGGUACGCGAGCUGGGUUUAGAACGUCGUGAGACAGUUCGGUCCCUAUCUGCCGUGGACGUUUGAGAUUUGAGAGGGGCUGCUCCUAGUACGAGAGGACCGGAGUGGACGAACCUCUGGUGUUCCGGUUGUCACGCCAGUGGCAUUGCCGGGUAGCUAUGUUCGGAAAAGAUAACCGCUGAAAGCAUCUAAGCGGGAAACUUGCCUCAAGAUGAGAUCUCACUGGAACCUUGAGUUCCCUGAAGGGCCGUCGAAGACUACGACGUUGAUAGGUUGGGUGUGUAAGCGCUGUGAGGCGUUGAGCUAACCAAUACUAAUUGCCCGUGAGGCUUGACCAUAUAACACCCAAGCAAUU